RNAcentral lists this long non-coding RNA (8086 nucleotides) under Eucalyptus grandis. RNAcentral describes it as "long non-coding RNA (EGRA_LNC007142)". Lineage: Eukaryota; Viridiplantae; Streptophyta; Magnoliopsida; Myrtales; Myrtaceae. The record is from RNAcentral.
CCGAAGCCAGCUUUUUCCGUCAACAGCAUCAUCCACCGAAACAUUUCGUUGACCCCGUUCAUCCACGCAUCCACCGAAGCUACCACAUCCAGUGCGUCUCUCUCUCUUUGCUCCUCACGCUGCUACUCCACCACCGUCUGUUUCUCCACGCGUUCAAGCUCAACCCUCCGAUCAACACUAAGCAGCACAAAGCAACCGAUGUUGACCCAAGCAUCCACGUGGCCAGCGACCUUCAACCGUUGAGAGCUCCGAAUAUUGACUGAAGCAGCCCCAAAAGUCCACGAAGCAAGUCCACCGACCCUUCAACAAGCCCACGCAGUCCAGUCCAUCUUCGCUUGAGUGUGUCUCGGCCAGCAAACCCGCUUCUUCGGUCAAUCUUCACCCAACGAAGACCGAGUAGCCCCCAUCGAAUUGGAGACUGAAGCUGCUCCCUCCAGUCAAUCUUCAAACCAGCCGAACUCCUCUGUUGAACCGUGUUCCUUCCUCACGCGGGCAGCACCGAGCGAAGCAGCAGUCCGCGAUUUCUUUUCCGCCCGCUCACCAUCGUCACCUGCAGUUCACGCAUCUCCUUGGCCCAACAGAAUUCAGUCUUCGGGCCCAGCAAAGCCAGCAGGUUCCAGUUUUGGUCUCGGCCCAUCUUCAAGUAAUUCUGGCCCAGCAAGCAGCCCACAAUUCAGCAGCUUCAAGCCCAGUGGAUUAAAGAAAAUCAGUUCAACUUGAAGCCCAGUCCAGCAAUUCGAAGCCAAGCGAGAUUUGCCUAGUUUUGAGGCCCAAGCUCGUGAAGACCAGCCCUUGUGGAUUAGCCCAUCAGCCCGUGAAAAUUUCAGUAGGCCCAAGCCCAGAAUUUCUGUGGACUUGCAAGGUUUCUUGACCCGAUCCAAGAUCGUCGAAAGCUUGAUUUCGGCCGCCAUCGCGUCGCCGUUGCGGUGAUUCGAUCUCCGCUUUUGUCAAGUGAGUUUUACUCACUAAAGCUUUAUUAGUUUGCUAAUUAUGCUUAAGGUUGGUUAGAUUUAAUUAAGUGCAAUUAGGUGGUUAGAUUAGGUUAGAACAAUUAAAUUAGUGACUUAAGAAUGCAUGUUAGGUGGUUAGACCUAGCUAUUAGCAAGUAGAAAUGUUUGAUUAUUUAUUGAAUGUAUCUCGGGAUUUUUUCCGACCCGUUUCGGGCUCCAAUAAGGCAAUAUAGGCCUAAAUUGGAUUUUUAAUGUUUAUUUAUUUAUUUUCGAAAUUUAUUUAUUUAAUUAAUUAUUUUUCCGGAAAUUCAACCGGGAUGGCCGGUGACCGGAAUUCCGUGCUGAUUGUCGUGGUGCAGACCGUUUAUUUAUUUGAGCUCUACGUUGUGUGGAAUUGAAUUUAUUGUGGAAUUUUAGGAAUUGUCCUAAAUUGUUUGUUAUUAAAUAUUUGAUUGAUGGAUGGCUGAGUAUGGGUAUAUAGCGCCAGUACGUUGAUGGGCUAUUUAGUAGGGAGAAUGGUGAGACCAAUCAGGUACGAUAUGAUUGGACAUACGUGGUUCGGUGAUUGGAAGUAUCACUGGCGAAAACGGCGCCUUAAAGAACGCACGUAAAUGACUUAUAGACACACGUGGUUCGGUGAUUAUGGGAAUAUCACUGGUGAAAACGGCGCCUUAAAGAACGCACGAUGUUGUCUAUAGCCGAUGUCACCUUGGCGAAAACGGCGCCCUUGAGAGACACGUGGUUCGGUGAUCAAGGUUAUCACUGGUGAAAACGGCGCCUUAAAGAACGCACGGUGUCGGUGAUCGGUAUGUCAUUGGCGAAAACGACGCCCGAGAAACAUGUGAUUUGGUGAAUGAGUACACCACUGAGAAAGCAUGGUAUGAGUGGGAAUGACCUAGAGAGGGUCUGACUGACAUGUAAUCGACUUAGUCGAUUGAUCAAUGCUUGAUCGGAUGUCUUGAAUUGUUUGAAUAUCUAUGUUUAACCUUGAAUUGCAGGUUGGAACUGAGACUAAGGUAAGUCCUCUGACUCGUGUUGUGCUUAGGCAACCGUAUGGCAUAUUAGUUUACUAAUCGAGUCGUAGGGGGUAGGACUCGCUGAGACGUGGUCUCAUUGGUUAUUGAAUAACCAUUUCAGGACCCUGAGGAGAAGCUAAGGAAGGGGAACCUGAAGGGGAGAAAGACUUUUGAAGAAGAAGAUGAUCCAGAGAGGGAUCUUGAAUAUAACCCGGAUGUGGAUUGAGAUCCCAUCCCUUUUGUGAACCCUGUCUUGGUAUAGAUAGGUGUGAGACUUUUAUGUUGUAAAUAGUAUUGUAAAUAUACUAUGAGUUGUGCUGUUAUCGAAAGUAUGGUUGUGAAUUUCAAUAUGAAAAAUAUGGCCUGCUUUCCUAUCCCAUUGUUUUAUUGUCUGGGGAUUUAUAACUGCUUCCGCAUGUGCUUAAUAAAAAGAAAGGGUCGGCGAUACAUAGUCCUGGGAUAUCGCAUUAUAAAAUUGACCAAGUAGAAGGAUGUGCGCGCGUCCGAGGAUCGGGGCGUGACAUCCCCUUUUUGUGGUAUCAGAGCUAUGGUUAGGUAUUGGAGUGAUAAGGAGCAUUGACCAUGGGAUAGUUGGUAGGAAAGACCUUUAAAUUCAUGAUGGUGCAUGUCUGUGUUAGCUGAAUGCUAAAAUUGUUUGUGGUGUGUGGAUCGCUCACCUUCUAAUCCAGUGUGGAUUUGGAAGACGGGUUGCAGUGUAAAGACUGAACCAUGAGCGAGUAGGAGUUAAGAACUCCUAGUGAGAGGACAAUGUCCUCUGUGACUCGGGAUAAUGCACUGACAAAGGUCAGUACCCGAGGUGGUUGUGGCAGAGUGUUGACUCUGGCCAGCUCGAGUGUAAGAGUACCAUCGCAGGUUGGUACUGGUGUAGCAGCGUCUAAUGAUCCUAAGUUCGAUAGGAUCGUUCUGAUGCUAGUGUUCCUUGGGGACUGGAUGAGCCAGUAAGCUCAGGAUCAAGCCAUUGUUGUUGUUGUCGCUAUCGCAACCGUUGUUGUCGCCUUGCCUGCUGAGAUCCAGAGUGGAGACGUGAUCCGGGAGCGAGUCAUUACAUUCGAGCCAAGGUAUAGAUCCAGUUCAAGCAGAAAUGUGAAUCGAUCAGAGAAAAGACCAAGGUCGAGAGAAAAGGUAUUCUAUUUCACUCUCGAGGAAGGGUGGGAUAGUCAAGUCAGCACUGAGCAUAAUAGAUCAAGUUGUUUUUAGACGUGAUGAUGGAGAUCGGUAUUAUGUCCUUCAUAGGACACGAAAUUGUUUAGAGUAUAGCCAACGGGGAUAUCUGGUUAGGAGUGAUCCUAGCAGACUGAUGAGGCAACCAGAAAGAGUGCAUGCUUUCGCCUAAUAGAAGAUAGAAGAUGCACCAGAAAGGUGACAGAAUUGUAGAAAGCAGUAUGGAUAAAUCCAGUGUCUGAGUAUGACGAGAACCUGUUGUGUUGAUGACCAACAUGGCCAUCAGGUGACGGACUGUCAGUGGAAGUCUAAGGUAGCAUAGACAUUGCUACUGUGGCAAGGAAGGAAUGGGAGUAGAAUGGACCUUGCAUCGAUCAGAGAAAGAAUGUGUUGGAAGUGAUUUUAUCAGAGCAGCGUAGCAAAGUUUUGUGCUGAGUUGGUAGAACUUAAAUUGUUGACGUAAAAGUGAAAGAGAGGGAAUCACUAGCAAUAGUCAUGCUUGACUAGUUGCUGAAGUGUGAGUUUGAUGCCACAUGAAUAGUGUGGGCUCAUGGAGCAUCUAGUGAUAAUGAAUCACGAUCAUGGAGUAAGCCAGUUUAGUCCAUUAGCAUGUGAAAGUGUCAAGGUUAUUGGGAGUCAAAAAGAAUCUUCGAUUUCAUUAAUCUUGCUGGCUGAAGGUAACUUGUUUGUUAGAUGGAGGUUACCAAGGUUGCUUGCGCGAGUGUCUUGGGUAAGACUGAUUGGAGAACUAGAGAUGGAGGACAUCUCAGUGGUCUACAAAAUUCUAGAUGUGUUGUCACUAGAACUGUCAGACCGCCGUCAGAGAAAGAGAUAGAAAUUAUGAUUGAGUUAGCACCAGCAUAAAGCCACUCUCGAAUGCUUCUUACCAGGUAUUGUUGUUUGAAUUGAUAGAACCGAAAGUACGGAUGUGAAGAUUGAUGAAUGAGGAAUUCAUACAUAUUAGUGCAUCGCUUUAAGGAACAUCAGUUUUGUGGAAAGAGAAAUGAAAAUGGUUCAUUGCAAGCAUACAUCAACCAUUGUCAACUUAAUUGGGUGACUUGUUAUAAAGAAUGUUGAUGUCUUCAAGGAUCGACUUGAGGACAGGUUAUCUUCAGUUGAGGACCAGGAAGGAGGUUAUACUAAAGACAACACUUCACACUUGAUUUAGCCUUGUGAGAAUAAUGUAAAGCCAUUUGAUUUGACGAACGCUUCAGCCACUGUCAUAAAUUUGACAAACUGGGUGUUCAAAGAAUACCUAGAUCAAUGGUGAUCGUGUGAUGUGGCGACGUUCUAGGGUGUUCAUUAAGUGAUGAGGAUCCCGAGAGCCCUAAGAAUGGUCAUGUGAUUAUAGGUUAAGGAAUCUCAUGGACCCAGCCUAGAUUGAAUCAGUUGUUUAUGGACCGAGAUCGACAUCAAUGUCAGAGAUCAGAAGCUGUGGGGAUUGGACAGAUUACUACAGAAGGUUUGUGGAAGAAUUUUCAGCAUCAACACCAUCGUGGGUUUGAUCUCUUAAGAAAGAAGAGAAAUUCAUCAGCAUAGACAAGUACGAGGAUAGUUUCCAAAGCUUAAAUAAGAACAGACUAUCGUACUUGUGCUAAACUUUUCAUUUGGCUCCGGAAAGCACGGAAUCUUUAGUGAUGUGUCUUGUAGAGGAUGGGUAUGCAUUGAUACAACAUGAGAAGAUUGUUGUAUCACCGUUCCGCCAGUUGAGACCAAAUAAGUGAAAUGCGAAACGGUGUCGUGAACCAGAAUUUUGGCAGAACUAUAAUAGUGAUAUUGGGUAUCACCUUGGAGGAACGAAAUGAGUCAUUAAUGUGUUGAGCCGAGAGUCUUCAGUUGUGUAGAGACUGGCUAAAGUAUAGACUUUACUUGAAAAGGAUUUGAAAUUUGGUUUUCAAAUUUGAGGUAGGCUACCUUUUGAAUUUUAUAGUUGCCCUCAAAAAUUGAGCCAAAUGUUCAAGUUGGAAUCAUCGCCUCGUUGACAGACAGAGAUGUUCAGAGAUCUUAUAAGAUGAUGCUGGCAAGAAAGAAUUUGACUUUAAGAUUUAUGAGAAUGGAAAGUUCAGGUUCCAUGAGUGAUUGAAUACACUUGACAGUGUAGCACUCAGGGAAAAGAUCUUGUCAGAAGUUCACUAUAGUAUUGCAACUUUGAUCAGAUGGUGCAAGUAAAUCAGAAUCAACAUCAGCUAGAUUAGUAAGCUGAUAUGAAGAUAAAUAUAGCUGAGCAGGUUGCGAGUGUUAGAAGUGUCAGUAAGUGGAAGCUCCGUAAUGCGAACCGGGAGAAUUUUACCAUCACUUGAGAGUCCCAAGNNNNNNNNNNNNNNNNNNNNNNNNNNNNNNNNNNNNNNNNNNNNNNNNNNNNNNNNNNNNNNNNNNNNNNNNNNNNNNNNNNNNNNNNNNNNNNNNNNNNGAAGUGUCAGUAAGUGAAGCUCGUAAUGCGGAACCGGAGAAUUUACCAUCACUUGAGAGUCCCAAGUGGAAAUGGAAAUAUAUCACAAGGGAAGAUUAUCAUAGGCUUACUAAAGAUUCAGGGGAUUACUGAUACCAUUUGAGAAUGGUGGUUGAUCAAUAGAUGGAGUUGGUCCACUUUGGUACAGUACGAAUAGAUCUUGUUUUGAGUGUGUGACAUCCAAAUUUCGGACUCUGAUUUCGAUUAGAUAAAUUGGGCAUUUCAUCGACGCAAUUACAGUGUUUUUCUCUGAGUUGGCCAUUUAUGAGAUAACUAGACUAGCUGGGUGAGUUAUUACGGACCUUAAGGCAAAUAGACCUGAGAAUUCGACCAUGGAUUGACUUCUCGACCGUGCUCAUCUUUAGAGAUCAUUGCGGCACAGUAUAAAACCCGAUUUGAAAUCAAAGAUAGAUCGAUUCGACUGAGAUGAAUGACCGAUCGUGGGUGACUCCACUAAAUUGGAAAAAUCUCAUCGACCGACACUAAUUUGAUGUUUCUAUCGUUUUGGCGCCCUGUGUCCGUAUUUGAAUCUUUGAGAUUUUCACGACAAUCGAGAGUCACCAAUGGGUUGAGUGGGUUUAUUGUGGCUCGAAGAAAAUCGACCACGGGUCAUUUGUCCUAAAAAGCUCUGAACACUACCCAGUAGCCUAGGUCACACUAAAAGCGUGUCGAAAUGAAAUUAACCGCCAAUCUAAGUUCGAUUUCAAAAAUUGAAGAUUCUAUCUUAUCAGAGUGGGUAUAUCGAAGUGUGUGUGCAUCAGAUAAUUUGCCGGCAUGGAGUGCCGAGGAUGAAUUAUAUUCGAAUCUAAAUCAGAGAGUAAAUUUGGCAAAGUUUUCAGAGGGUUCUUUCUUAAGCAGUGUUAUAGAAGAGGGUACAGAAUUUCAGUGGUGAAAAGAAAGUGAAGAAGAUUUCAGGCCAAAGUCAGUACAGUAGUCAGUUAUUGCAGUUGCCAAGAUCAGUGUCAGAGUUAUAUCAGAUCUUGAUCAGAGGUUCCCAGUUUCAGCAGAUCAGUCAGAUAGUUUCUUUUUAAUCAGUACAGGGCAGAGUAUACAGGAUUUCAGUCAGUUGAGAUGAGAUCAGAAAUCAGAAAAUCGCAAGUCCGAAGUCAGCUCAGAAAUCAGUGUUUACAGUUGUCAGAUCAGUGUCAAAGUAAAGACUGUUCAGAACUGUCAGAAAUUUUGAAUCGUUGAGAUUCGAAAGUUUAUUAGGGAGUCGAGAAAAAGAGAUCAGAUAUGGAUGAUAGGGUGUCUUAUGUGAGAAGCUCAGUUCAGUUGUUGGUUCAGAAAGAGCAGAGUUAGUGUACCAAGAUGAUCUCCUUAAUCGAAAUGGUCAAACAACACCACGAGACCGAAGGAUUAGUAUGGAGUAAUGAGACUCAAUGAAAUGACAAUAACCCCACCUUUUGUAUAAGGAUCGGUGAAAGUUUAAAUUUCGAGGACGAAAUUUUUUUAAGAGGGGAAGAAUUGUGACAUCCAGAAUUUUCAGUAUUAAUUUCAAUUGAAUUAAUCAGGUCAUUUCUAUGCAAUUGAAGCCGGGGAUUAUGAAAUUGAGAUGCAUGAUGGGUGCAUGAGUGAGGAAAAAUAGCAAUUGAGACUUUGAGGCAUCAAUUAAUUUUUAUGAGAACCGAUGGAGAACAAUUGAGGGAGAUUUGAUGUACAAUGGAAGCCUUGGCUAAGAAAUUCGUAGCACCCCAUAAGACCUAACCUUUGGACCUUUUAAACCUUCUAGAUGAGGGCAUUUUGGGCUGCAAAGAGCUGGUGGAAGACAGCUAUGGCUUUGGUCCAAGAUUAGGGAACAAAAGAGAUAUUUGUUGUGGAAUAUCAAGCCAAGUGGAGCCCUCACCCCUCAUCUCUAUCCAUCUAUCUCUUACUCAUCUUCUCGUUCAAGCUGCAGUGGAUCGUUUCUCCUCCAUCCUCCGAAUUGUGCGACGCCAGCAGCUGAAGAAGACCAAGCUGCUUCCCUCCGAAAUUCCCUUCGUCCGCCAGCCUCGCACACGCGUCCAAACUCUGCUGCUUCGGUCAACAAGCGAGCCACCGAGGCUUCUCAAUUGACCCAGAAGCUCGCCUCGUUGCCACUUGGCAGCACCUGCGUUUGGUUCGGUCAACAAGCGGAGUUGAAGACAGCCGAAGGAAGCCGCACGUUCCACCGAGAACUGUUGUCCACCGAGCUUCCAUCUUCAAUGCCCGAAGUCCUCCUCCGAAGCCAGCUUUUUCCGUCAACAGCAUCAUCCACCGAAACAUUUCGUUGACCCCGUUCAUCCACGCAUCCACCGAAGCUACCACAUCCAGUGCGUCUCUCUCUCUUUGCUCCUCACGCUGCUACUCCACCACCGUCUGUUUCUCCACGCGUUCAAGCUCAACCCUCCGAUCAACACUAAGCAGCACAAAGCAACCGAUGUUGACCCAAGCAUCCACGUGGCCAGCGACCUUCAACCGUUGAGAGCUCCGAAUAUUGACUGAAGCAGCCCCAAAAGUCCACGAAGCAAGUC